CAGAGAGUAGUUUAAGGUUAAAAUGCUAGUUUUGGGGACUAGUGUUGGGCGGUGCGCUCCUCUUUGA
This 67-nucleotide transfer RNA is filed under the name Quedenfeldtia moerens. Its description in RNAcentral is "tRNA-Pro". It matches the Rfam family "tRNA". From Rfam's summary of the family: Transfer RNA (tRNA) molecules are approximately 80 nucleotides in length. Their secondary structure includes four short double-helical elements and three loops (D, anti-codon, and T loops). The record is from RNAcentral. Lineage: Eukaryota; Metazoa; Chordata; Lepidosauria; Squamata; Sphaerodactylidae.